RNAcentral lists this unclassified non-coding RNA (469 nucleotides) under Hevea brasiliensis (rubber tree). The record is from RNAcentral. Lineage: Eukaryota; Viridiplantae; Streptophyta; Magnoliopsida; Malpighiales; Euphorbiaceae.
AGCCAUUUUCAAUUACUACCCAAAUCAUUUCCAUAAAUUGCCUCCUACUGUACCACCACCUGGUCCCCUUUGGAAUGAUACUGAUUCCAGAAUAAACCAAAGCCUCGCCAUUAAAGCACUUCAAGGUCAUGUAGAGUCCCCUCCCAAGACAUCAGAUAGAGUGAUUGUACUUCUCAACACGCAGAACACCAUUGAUGGCAAAUAUCGCUGGUCUCUUAACAAUGUAUCUCACUCCCUACCUACUACCCCAUACCUCAUAGCACUCAAGGAAAAUAUGAGUGAUGUUUUUGAUCAAACCCCACCUCCAGAAAACUACAACCCAGAUUAUGACAUUUUCAAUGUUGCGAAUAACACAAAUGCCACUUCUAGUACAUCCAUUUACAGGCUCAUAUUUAACUCCACAGUGGAUAUUAUACUUCAAAAUGCCAACACCAUGACGAAGAAUAAUAGCGAGACACAUCCUUGGCAU